RNAcentral lists this ribosomal RNA (437 nucleotides) under Actinobacillus pleuropneumoniae. RNAcentral's name for it is "bacterial SSU rRNA". It matches the Rfam family "Bacterial small subunit ribosomal RNA", at positions 62 to 486 of the family's 1533-position model. The record is from RNAcentral. Lineage: Bacteria; Pseudomonadati; Pseudomonadota; Gammaproteobacteria; Pasteurellales; Pasteurellaceae.
UCGAACGGUAACGGGAAGGGAGCUUGCUUUCUUUGCCGACGAGUGGCGGACGGGUGAGUAAUGCUUGGGAAUCUGGCUUAUGGAGGGGGAUAACUACGGGAAACUGUAGCUAAUACCGCGUAAUAUCUAUGGAUUAAAGGGUGGGACUUUCGGGCCACCUGCCAUAAGAUGAGCCCAAGUGGGAUUAGGUAGUUGGUUAGGUAAAGGCUGACCAAGCCGACGAUCUCUAGCUGGUCUGAGAGGAUGACCAGCCACACUGGAACUGAGACACGGUCCAGACUCCUACGGGAGGCAGCAGUGGGGAAUAUUGCACAAUGGGGGGAACCCUGAUGCAGCCAUGCCGCGUGAAUGAAGAAGGCCUUCGGGUUGUAAAGUUCUUUCGGUAGCGAGGAAGGUAUCAAAUUUAAUAGAUUUGGUAAUUGACGUUAACUACAGAA